UUGUACGCCACUUGAGCCCGCCGUCUCCCUCGCUAAUGAUACCGGCGGAGGCUCUCUGGGGAACGGCGUCCGUCGCGCGCGCCUUGGCUUUCGCGUCUCCGGCACCAGGACGGUCUGGAGUCAUCUGUGAAUCAAAGCUAAUAGUUGAAGAGAGUUGCAACACUUCUGCCGGCUGUUGCCUCAGUCUGUCACUGGACGGAGAAGAUCACAUCGUCGACGUUAUGGACAAAGAAAAAUACCCACAGUGGACAUUAUUAUGUUUUUCCCUUGCAGAAUCGCCCCACUCCUGCGUCUGCAAACACUGCACUUGGGAGCAUUGAAAAGAGCUGACUGCCCUCAAACACAUGCGGUGCACUUUCCAGGAAAACACACAAAGAACUCUGUAACGUGAAACGAAAGCUGACAGCGGCGAUCUCAAAACGCAACGUGACGUUGUGUCGGCCAGUACACCGGUUUUCCCCUCGGCUUUUCUUGCAUUUGUCCACAGAAAAACACACCUCAUUAUCUUUCGCAGAGUAAAUGAUGUAGAUCACGUUGAACGUUUUCGUUUAAUUUAAAUAAACGGAUAAAUACAUACAGUGUGAAAUGGGUCCA
This is a long non-coding RNA of Gasterosteus aculeatus aculeatus (three-spined stickleback), 594 nucleotides long. NCBI's taxonomy places the organism in Eukaryota, Metazoa, Chordata, Actinopteri, Perciformes, Gasterosteidae. The record is from Ensembl.